GACAUUGAUAGAGGUGCAACAAUUAUGAGUACCCCAUCCGUAAUCAGGCUUUGGAUGAUGGGAAAGGAAUUGCUGCCGAAGUGGUCUUUCGCUGCCUGUGAGUAAAGACUGCUGGUCUAAUGCAGAAUAUGUAUCAGACUGUCACAUGAUAUAAAACAAGCAAAGAACAAAUCCUUGCUUGUAUGUGGAGCGCUAUCAUUACU
Molecule: non-coding RNA, 203 nt
Filed under: Lachnoclostridium phytofermentans
Lineage: Bacteria; Bacillati; Bacillota; Clostridia; Lachnospirales; Lachnospiraceae
Also listed under: 1 other name
Description: Clostridium phytofermentans Lysine sequence
Rfam family: Lysine riboswitch aptamer
About the family: Riboswitches are metabolite binding domains within certain messenger RNAs that serve as precision sensors for their corresponding targets. Allosteric rearrangement of mRNA structure is mediated by ligand binding, and this results in modulation of gene expression.
Source: RNAcentral